UCCGUAGGCGGACUAAUAAGUCAGGGGUGAAAUCCAACAGCUUAACUGUUGAACUGCCUUUGAUACUGUUAGUCUUGAAUUAUAUGGAAGUAGAUAGAAUGUGUAGUGUAGCCGUGAAAUGCUUAGAGAUUACACAGAAUACCGAUUGCGAAGGCAGUCUACUACGCAUAUAUUGACGCUAAUGGACGAAAGCGUGGGGAGCGAACAGGAUUAGAUACCCUGGUAGUCC
This 229-nucleotide ribosomal RNA is filed under the name uncultured bacterium. RNAcentral describes it as "partial 16S ribosomal RNA". It matches the Rfam family "Bacterial small subunit ribosomal RNA", at positions 568 to 796 of the family's 1533-position model. The record is from RNAcentral.